This 565-nucleotide ribosomal RNA is filed under the name uncultured cyanobacterium. RNAcentral's name for it is "bacterial SSU rRNA". It matches the Rfam family "Bacterial small subunit ribosomal RNA", at positions 338 to 916 of the family's 1533-position model. The record is from RNAcentral. Lineage: Bacteria; Bacillati; Cyanobacteriota.
CCUACGGGAGGCAGCAGUGGGGAAUUUUCCGCAAUGGGCGAAAGCCUGACGGAGCAAUACCGCGUGAGGGAAGACUGCCUAUGGGUUGUAAACCUCUUUUUUCAGGGAGGAAUCAAUGACGUGUACCUGAAGAAUAAGCAUCGGCUAACUCCGUGCCAGCAGCCGCGGUAAGACGGAGGAUGCAAGUGUUAUCCGGAAUCACUGGGCGUAAAGCGUCUGUAGGUGGUUUAAUAAGUCAACUGUUAAAUCUUGAGGCUCAACUUCAAAAUCGCAGUCGAAACUAUUAGACUAGAGUAUAGUAGAGGUAAAGGGAAUUUCCAGUGGAGCGGUGAAAUGCGUAGAUAUUGGAAAGAACACCGAUGGCGAAAGCACUUUACUGGGCUAUUACUAACACUCAGAGACGAAAGCUAGGGUAGCAAAUGGGAUUAGAUACCCCAGUAGUCCUAGCCGUAAACAAUGGAUACUAGAUGUUGAACAGAUCGACCUGUGCAGUAUCAAAGCUAACGCGUUAAGUAUCCCGCCUGGGAAGUAUGCUCGCAAGAGUGAAACUCAAAGGAAUUGACGG